This 225-nucleotide ribosomal RNA is filed under the name Clostridioides difficile. Its description in RNAcentral is "partial 23S ribosomal RNA". It matches the Rfam family "Bacterial large subunit ribosomal RNA", at positions 366 to 594 of the family's 2925-position model. Lineage: Bacteria; Bacillati; Bacillota; Clostridia; Peptostreptococcales; Peptostreptococcaceae. The record is from RNAcentral.
AAUAGUCCUGUAUGUUAAACGAGAAGACUUUAGAUAUGAUCCAGAGUACCACGGGACACGUGAAACCCUGUGGGAAGCAGGAGGGACCCCCCUCCAAGGCUAAAUACUACCUAGUGACCGAUAGCGUAUAGUACCGUGAGGGAAAGGUGAAAAGACCCCCGGGAGGGGAGUGAAAUAGAACCUGAAACCCUGCACUUACAAGCUGUGGAAGCACAUUUCUUGUGU